Non-coding RNA from Chelonoidis abingdonii (Abingdon island giant tortoise), 730 nucleotides. NCBI's taxonomy places the organism in Eukaryota, Metazoa, Chordata, Testudines, Testudinidae. The record is from RefSeq and is a predicted model, not a curated record.
UCCUUUGACAGAAAAAGUGGAUAAUUGUCAUUCUAUCGCUGGUAUUGGUUGCCUUAAUUGCUCUAAUUGUUGGUCUGUCAGUUGGUAUUCGAUGAUGCUUGGAUAACUUCAGCAUGCAUAUCUCUGCCAAUGCGGCAAAAAUGACAUUCAUAAUUAUUUGUGUAACUGUCUUGCUUGUGAUCAUUGGAAUUAUCCUAGCAGCUACAUUAUCUUAGCAAGCACAUUCCAAGAGCUUAAGAAUCUUCAGGCUCCAAAUCACAUCUGCAGUGAAACCAAAUAUCUUAACUUUUUUUUUUUGGUAAAAGAUGCCUUACACCAUGAUACACAUGAUGUUCAAUGCUGACUUAUGAUUAGUGAUUUAAAGGUGAAAACAUAAUGGCACUGAAUGUUUAAUCAGAUCUGUAAAUCAAAAUGUAUAUGGGAAAUCAAUUGGCUUUUCAUCAGAAACCACAUGGAUCUGUCAGCGUGAAGCCUGCUUUUAAUGGUUUUGAACGAAAGUGAUUUGGGAAUUCCAUUUUUUCAUAUUCCAGUGUUAUAAACACAGAAUUUAAUUAGGGAAUUGUGGAACUAUUGAGUUUUGGCUAUUUGGUAUAAUUUUUCCACUCCUAAUGCAAUUUUAUUCAAGAAUUUUAGUACCACAUUUGUGUUCUCUUCUUGUUAGCAAAUUAAUUGAUUCUCUGAGCACUGUUUUUAGGUGAUGUAGCCAUAACUUUAAAUAAACAUUUACUGG